AUGGGCCGUUUAUUCGCCGAAAUUGGGCUGCAAAGUGGGCCAAUUUCGGCGCCUGGGGGCGAGCUGGGGGCGACGACUGGGCGCAAACCCGCCCCCAGCGCCGAGUGCAUCGCCGGCUCGCCUCCAGGGGGCGAUUUUUAUGCGUCCUUGGGGGGCCAACGGCUGGAGAUGCCCUUAUACUUCGACGUUCCAAGUAAAUUAGCCCCAAUGUACCCCCUUCUCAACCCCACCAAUAAUGGAACUGUCUACUUUGCGGCUGGCAAGCUCCGUGAGAACCGGAGCAACGGGAUGUGCAUCCCAACAGGAGCAGAAUAUCUACUCGAGCUCGACAUAUGGUGCAACGUCCGUGAGAGUAUAAUUUCUCUUGUGGACCGUUUUGACGAGCCUGUCAUCCCCAACUUCGUCGCUUCCAAUUUCUGCCAGUACGCUCGUGUCGUAGAUCUCGAUUCUCACAUCUUGAUGAUGGAGAUGAGGAAGCAGCAGUCUUCCAAGGAACAUGAUGGACGAGCUGAUCUUCCAGCUCAUUAUUAUUUUAACUCAAGACUAGCCCAGUCAGGCAUUGUAGACACCGUUCCAGAGCACCAUUCUGGAGUUAUCAUGGAGUGA
This 606-nucleotide ribosomal RNA is filed under the name Triticum aestivum (bread wheat). RNAcentral describes it as "partial small subunit ribosomal RNA". Lineage: Eukaryota; Viridiplantae; Streptophyta; Magnoliopsida; Poales; Poaceae. The record is from RNAcentral.